Molecule: ribosomal RNA, 665 nt
Filed under: uncultured Pezizales
Lineage: Eukaryota; Fungi; Ascomycota; Pezizomycetes; Pezizales
Description: eukaryotic LSU rRNA
Rfam family: 5.8S ribosomal RNA (bases 280-433)
Source: RNAcentral
GAUCAUUAAAUAGUAUUAUAGACUACAUCUUGGUCANUAGAGGAAGUAAAAGUCGUAACAAGGUUUCCGUAGGUGAACCUGCGGAAGGAUCAUUAUUGAAAAACUACUUUUUUUAUAGUUUUUUUAUAUCCCAUUGUCUACCUAUCCUGUUGCUUCCACUAGACAGGUUUCAUCCCUGUAGCAUGUGUGAAUAACACUUGCCAUAGAGUUGCUAGUGGUAAGCCCAUUAUCAAAACUUGAUAUGAAAAUAUGUCUGAUUCAUUCUUUGAAAUAAAAUAAAACUUUCAACAACGGAUCUCUAGGCUCUUGCAUCGAUGAAGAACGCAGUGAAAUGCGAUAAGUAAUGUGAAUUGCAGAAUCUCGUGAAUCAUCGAAUCUUUGAACGCACAUUGCGCCCUAUGGUAUUCCGUAGGGCAUGCCUGUCUGAGCGUCAGCUCCCCUCCACCUCAAGUAUCUUUCAAGACGCUUGGAUUACUUUGGAGAAGUGGUUUUUGUAGGUGCUAAAAGUUACCUGAAAUUUCCACCCUCCAAAAAUAUAUUGGCAGUAUGGCUUUCCAAACUGGACGUAAUAAACAUAUAAAAGCGUCUCUUGUUUGGUCAGUGCUGUGCUUGCCUUAACCCACCCAAAUCAUAUUUUUUUUCUGGGUGACCUCAGAUCAGGUAGG